CGGAACUAACAGAUUUACUUCGGUAAUGACGUUAGGAAAGCGAGCGGCGGAUGGGUGAGUAACACGUGGGGAACCUGCCCCAUAGUCUGGGAUACCACUUGGAAACAGGUGCUAAUACCGGAUAAGAAAGCAGAUCGCAUGAUCAGCUUUUAAAAGGCGGCGUAAGCUGUCGCUAUGGGAUGGCCCCGCGGUGCAUUAGUUAGUUGGUAAGGUAAAGGCUUACCAAGGCGAUGAUGCAUAGCCGAGUUGAGAGACUGAUCGGCCACAUUGGGACUGAGGCACGGCCCAAACUCCUACGGGAGGCAGCAGUAGGGAAUCUUCCACAAUGGACGCAAGUCUGAUGGAGCAACGCCGCGUGAGUGAAGAAGGGUUUCGGCUCGUAAAGCUCUGUUGUUGGUGAAGAAGGAC
This 408-nucleotide ribosomal RNA is filed under the name uncultured Lactobacillus sp. Its description in RNAcentral is "bacterial SSU rRNA". It matches the Rfam family "Bacterial small subunit ribosomal RNA", at positions 67 to 453 of the family's 1533-position model. Lineage: Bacteria; Bacillati; Bacillota; Bacilli; Lactobacillales; Lactobacillaceae. The record is from RNAcentral.